Long non-coding RNA from Heterocephalus glaber (naked mole-rat), 589 nucleotides. RefSeq lists it as uncharacterized. The record is from RefSeq and is a predicted model, not a curated record. Lineage: Eukaryota; Metazoa; Chordata; Mammalia; Rodentia; Bathyergidae.
CUUGGGCAGGAAGAACCUGUCUCACAGGUGUGUGUCUCCGCCCUCUCUGGCUUCUCCACAGCCACGCCUUCUUGGUCUUGCGCAGGCGCUUCAGCAGCGAGUGUUGCGCAGGCCAGGCCUGUAGGCCAUGGUUAGGCUACUGCCUUGUGAACCGCUACUUCAGCUGCCCUAGGACACGUCCAGCAGCUGGUCCACUCCACACCACAGGGUCCAUUUACCCCACCUUCCGUCACCAUGCCUCCGAAGAGUGGUGGACCCUGUGACAGGCCUCCUGGAAGAUUUUCAUCCUGUAAGACACUGCCUACAACAGAGCGAGCCUCCAUUCCCAUUUGGCCAGCCCAGGGUGCCAUAGGCACAUCUGGUCACCCCAAGUGGCAGAGGCAGGCCUGUGCCUGAGAAAGAACUGGAAAUUACCUUUGGACAAUGGUCUUGAGCACUCUUCCCUCAGGAAAGGAGAAAAGCCACCAAGAUGCAUCUGAUUGCCUGCUUCAGUCUUUGUCUGUGGCUGGCACACACUCAGGAAAAAUACAAAGUACCCAGUGUCUUUCUUAUUAAAUAAAAGAAAUGACAGCCCACAGCGCAUUUCUUU